CAUUGCCAGAUCCCCAGUCUGCUGCAAAUGUGCCACGUCAAGACUGGAAAUCACAGCACUUCAGUGUGUUUCAGUUUUGCACACUAGGGAAUAAGAAACGCUAAGGGACACUGUGAAAAAGGAGGACUGCAGAAUAAAGCGGGGAAGACAUUCUGGUAAGGCCUACUUUGGAAGAACACCUGGCCUAUGACCUGGCGAACCUAGGUGACUCCCCUCCCCCCUUCCUCCAGUCAUCACUGCAAGAAAGAUGGAGCUCUGAUGGUGCACUAAAAGCCAUGCAAGAAAUGAGAGAGGUAUAUUGCCUAGAGGUACACUGCCUAGAGAAGUGUACAACAGUAAAGCUAAACUCGGUCAUUGCUUUUUUAUUCUUUUCUUUUUUUUUUAAAUUAAUUUAAAAUAAAGCUUUUUUUCCCCCACAAACUAAAAAGGUAAAUUUAAUUUAUUUUUUUUUUACUUGUAGCUGUCAGUAUAAAUAUUUAAGAAGUAUAUUUUUUUUCUUAGGUUUGCUAGAAGUUUGUAUUCUGAAUAGCUCCUGUUGUGAUCUAUGACGUGAAGAUCAAUUUUAAAAAAUUAUUUUUGCUUAAAGUAAUAAAAUACUAGAAAAGAAUGCAUGAAUAAUAUUUUAAAUUAUUGUAAAAUAUAUUAUAUCACCUCUGGAAAAACUGUACUUAGUUUUUAAUAUGUAGUUGAAACUUCUUUGCAAGUAACUUAUGCUAGACGUGCUAAUGAAAACCGGGAGGGAAACCAGAGAAAAACUGACUACUCCAUGCUAGGCUGCUGCCAUAUAGAAUACAAAACCUUUGAUUGUCAGGAAAAAUUACCUUUUAAAGUUCAGGAAGUGAUAGGGAAAAAAAAAAUAAUCAAUCAAUAAAUAAAAGGGAAGAAAGAGCUUUCCAACCCGAUACCUGGCUGGACAUUGCAUGGGAGUGAUCAGAACCGAUUGAUUGCUGCCGCUCUCAUGAGUACUUUGAAUCGCUGAUAAUUCUUCUUCCAUUCAAAAUGAUAAGUUGCUUUGUCCUGAAUCCCACUGAUAAAAAUGGAAUUUGUAAACCAAUGCAGAAGUUUGCUUUGGUGAAUUUCCAGCUGUCCUGGUAGGGGAAAAAAACCCUCAGGCUGAAUGAAAUCCCCACGGACAAAAUAAUACAAAAAGUCUGGGCUGCAAUUUGAUACCAGCCGAACUCCAGAGUCAGCUCCCCUAAAGUUAACAGUAGUAACAAACUACUGCAACUGGAAAAAAAUCCCACCUUUAUGGUGCUCAUUAUUACCAGGAAGGCUUGGAAUAGCUGUAAAAAGAAUUAGAAUAAAUAUGCAGCCAUUAGUAUUAUAAGCAGCCGAUUUUGCAGACUGUGUUGUAUUUUAGACAGCCUUCAUGCUAUAUUUUUUCUUUUCAAAAAAAAAAUAUCUGUAUAUUAUGCUGAUCUUUUCCAUUGCUCCUUUGAUAAUCAAUAAAGGAGCUAUUGGGGAGAACUGGUGGUGUAUUGUUGGUGUGAUGGUGCCUGGACUGGCUGCCUUAAAGCUUACAAAGCAAGGACUAGCACUGUCAUUUCCCUCUGCCUCCCAGCAAAACUUUUCUUUUGACCAAAAAACUCUUUUUUAAUGUAUAUAUACACUUAUAAAUUAUUCAGCCUCUCUUCCUUUAUUUUUUUUUUGCAAAUAUUAUUUUUAGGAUUAACUUAGUGGGGUUUAAUCCAUUAUAGUAGGACAAGUAGGUGGAAUUUUUAAUUUCGUUCUGCUUUAAAGUGGAGUUACAACACACAGUUAAAUGUGGUCAUUAAAUUAAAGGAAUGGAACUAGAGUCAAACUGGCAUUAAUAUUUCUCAAUCUCUGAUUGCUGUCUUAGGCAUAGCAAAUCUGAAAAGUUUUAUGACUUAGAUUUUGCUUUAGCGGUAGAAAAAUGUUUCCAAAUCUUGUUAAGAAACUCGCUCAGUUUUGCUUUCAAGGGGAAUAUAAUUGUCUGCAUUUUUUUUUUCUCUCUAAUGCUUAUUUGCAAAGCUACUUUUUUUUUUUUUUUUUUAAUUCUGAUCUAGAAAUUAAGGAAGGAAAUACUGUUAUCCAGGGAAUAAUAGGCUCUCCAUGAAAACAGUGUUGCAGAUAGCCUGUGUUAACUUUUGCUAAAUAAGCAAGGACGAUGGAAACACAUGGAACGAGUGUUUCUCUUAUCUCUAGUCUAGUAUUUGCAUUAAUCUUUAUUUUAAAUGACCUUUCUGGAUUUAGGAAGUGAUUCCCCUCCCAUACACCCGUGACUCUUCAAAGUUACAUUUUUAGACUGUAAGGCUGAGAUUGAGGAGGCCCCCUUGGCGUGGGGCUUGGAAAGGAGGCGGGGGGGGAAACGCAGAGUGCAAAGCAGCAGAUAUGGAAAGAAAGGCUGUAUUGUUAACAAUGAAUAAGGAAGUAUAUCGACCUCAGUUCAGUAAUCAAAACAUUUUCAAAGUGAAUUAAAUGAUUCUGUGGUUCUUAAAACGCUGUUGGUUUAGUUGUAACAAUUUUUAAUUGAUCAUAGUGACAGGGAAGAGAUUUUCAAUAGUUAUAAAACAAGAUGCUUUAAACAUGCAUAUCAACAAACACAAAUAGGCUGCAUAUAAAUAUUUCAAGAAGGAAAAAAAAAACAAAAACAAAAUACUAACAAAUAUUACUUUUUGUAAUGAAUAAAAAAAAAUUAGCAGGACCCAAUGAAUAUUAAUCAUGGUGAAAGUUCUCUAAAGCCAGGAUGACACCAAUGCUUAAGCCUGUUGUAUGAACUGAUACAUAUUACCAUAAAAAGCACAUUAAAGCCAGUAGGAACAUUUAAUUAAAUAGUUGAGUGUUUCAAUAUCAUAGACUUUCUUUUGUCUUAAGGGAGUGUAUUUUUUUAAACUGCACUCAAAAAAAAAAUUAAAUAGGGAAGAGGAAGAAAAUAUUUCAAACCUAUUCUAACUAUUCCUUUAAUGUUAAAAAUAAAAGGAAAAGAGAGAGAAGGGUGAGGGUAAAUCAGUUAACUUUACAGAAAUAAAUAUAGAUCAAAUAAGCAUCCAAAUGUGAAAAAAAAGUUACUUUUUUAAAAAAACCAUGUCAUUUGCCAUCUUUCUGCCUUGUCAUUAAGCUGCAUGAUGGCUCCUGUAUUACCAUUGCCAGUGCUAUUUAGUGCAUCUGUAUUUUCAGAGCAUAAAGCCACUGCCAUGCUCCCCACGCUCCUUACCCCCCUUCCUGUACUAUCACUGUGCAUCCAGACCACCCAAGUAUCAUUUCUAGAGGGAAAAUAUUUUAAUCAAAAUAGCAAAAUAUCUGCAUCUAUAUAAAAUGCUCAUUAUAAUCUUUCAAUCAAAAUCUGUUAAGCAGAAUGGAAAAUGAAAAGCCCUAAACUUUAAUGUGUUGGGUUUUUUAUAUAAUAUAUUUUAAUCAAGAACAUAAUUUUACUUUUACUUGUAAAAGGCUUUGCUUCCUGAACUGUACUUUAUUUAGAAGAAAAAAAAAAAAUCUUAAUUGAAAUACUAUUAAGGGUUAGGUUUAAACCUACAAAAAGACAGGAAAUGCCACAGUUAAGAAUGAAACUUUCCUGAAUUAUUCUACUGUAGUUCUGAACUGCAUUUUACACAGCACUGCAAAGCAGUACCUAAAAAUAACAGCCUUCCUUUAAAUAAAGAGUCCUGAUCACUACUGGAGGGAAUUCAUAUCUCUGUUCAGUUUCCAAGGUACCAAUAUUUAAAGUCAGUUCUUUAAAAUAAGUUUCUGUAAAUACAAUAUUGGCAAUCAUAUUUUUUUGUUGUUGUUGUUUUGAAUAUUCUUAAAUAUUCUCAAGCCCUUUACUGACUCAGUGUGUCAACCAGACACAGCACAUAAAAAUCUUAAGUCCUUUAAGUGAGUUAACUACAAUCCCAAGGAAUUUCAGUUUUUAAAUAAAAAUCAAGUGGAGAUAUUCAUCUAGUCAUGUCUAGUAGCACCCAGUGAAUUAAGUGAAGGGAAAACAAACUUGCCUCUGUUGAGAUGUAAAGCUUUUUGCUGAUUCUUUGAUGAAUUCUAAAUGUGUACAGUUAUUAGAAAGACGGCACAAAGUUUCCACUUACGAUUUUCUUCCCAGCACAGCCUCCCUGACAGUUGUUAACAGAAAACCUAUUCUAGAAAAUGCAGACUUCUGCUAUUCCAAUAUUCUGUACUACAGGCUGCCGACGAUUCUGACUCUACAAUUCUUUGUUAUUUCAAGAAGGAUCCAUAAAACACAAAGUGAGACCUAAAUUUCUUCCAGGCUAAAAAUUUUUCAUUUCUUUAGCAGUUAUGCAGCAGUUAAAUCUAAUUAAAUCAGUGAAACAAUCAGAGUUUAUUAUCUCUAUUUUAAAAAUACUUCUAAUUUUCCACUUCUCUUUUUCUUCAAAAUGGUCAAGCGAGUAGGAAGCAUUGUCAACUUAAAUCAUUCUCUUAAAAUUUUACUUAGAGCUACAAAAAUUUAAGUAAGCAUUUUAUAAAGACAAACUAUUUAAUGUAUUGGAAUUCAUUUUCCAAGUCUGAAUUAGUUAGCCAUGUUUUGUGGUUGAUUCAUUUAUUUAAGACAUUGUAUUCCACCUUGUUAGGUUCAAGGAAAAUUUUACUAAUAUAAUUGAUAAAGUUAACUCGUAUAGUCAAUUUGUAUAUUAACUAAAAUGCAUAUUAUUCUUUAUGGCAAAAUUAUUAGAGACAGAACACCUGAAUUAUCACAUACUGAUUUAUUAUUAAUUUAAUAUAAAACCUCAGCACUAUCCCCACCUUUAAUCCCUGGUAAUUUAUAAUCAGUUUUCAGGCUGAACUUAAAAUUGUUUGCCUGCUAUUCUGAAUGGGAUAUGUUUGAGAAGGGUUUGAAAGCACAAGUUUGUUGGUUACCUAUGGUGGCACUAGCGAGCAACAGAGAUUCAAGAACACCAUUACAAACCAGAAAAAUUUCAUCUGUAGAGAAAAUUAAUACAAUUAUUCUUUUCCCCCUUUUAAAGUUCUGAUGGGUUUUAUACCUUACGAAACAAUAUCCCCAGUGAUGUUGCAAAUGUCACUGCAAAACUGGAUUAUAGUCACUGUGUAUAUUCUGUAUAGAGAAAAUUCAGCAAAGCAGAUUAUCUUGUGAUGUGAAAUGAUGUUUUUGAUCUCUAGUACAGUCCAUAUUUAACUGAAAAAAACUUACUGAAGUUUUAUGAGGUUAAUUUAUUUUGUCAGAAAGUAGAGAUUUUGAGACAAAGCAAAAUUUAAAUAACACACAAACCAAAAUAUUAAAAGGAAUAUAAUACAUCUACAGCUAUCACAUAUUAGCAAAAUUGAUCUAAAGUGCAACCAGUUUUCUUUCCAGCACAUUCCCUAUAAUGGGGUUAAUGUGCAAGUGGCGGCCUCCAUUUAUACAGAAGGAUUUUUAUUUUUAACAUCCCAGAUUAUUGUACUUAUCUACUCCUAGAAAAUAUGCACUGUAUAAACAUAUCCUUUAUCUUGAACUUCAGUAUUUCUGUGCUUCCAUGAAGAGUAAAAACAUCUGGUUAAAUUACUAUGUGCAAGUACAAUAUGCAGGCAAAACCCUGUACCAAUUGCAUCUAAAAUAAACCACGGCUUCGGUUCUUUUUGCUUUCCCAAAUGUCCAGCGUGAGCAGUCUGUUGAAAUCGCAUCCCUGAUAUGUGUCAGCACGAUGAUAACUCAUGUACCAAGCUUCUUUUCUGAAUAAAAUCAAGUUCUGUUCUUGUUCUGCAGCUGCCAAUGUUUUAAAGUUUAAUUCUGCUAUGUGUGUUCCCCCCAACAAACGCCCCCCAAAGUGGACUGGCACAAAGUGUUGCACAGCAGCGGCGAUGGCUCCAAGGGACUGGCUGGACGGAGUUGUCAUGUGUCUGCCUGUCUACACUUGCUGUGCAGAACAUCCUCUCACCUGUACAGCAGGCACAGACAGGCAGUCGCAUGACAACCCAGCCUGAGGGACAGCCACCAGUGGGACCCCGCUCUGACAGCCCAGAGCAUCCGCAGCACCAGCUCCAGCCAAGAGUCGCUCUGGACCUCAGACGGCCGGUCAGUCACCAAGCCCAGAGUCAAAGCAGCGCUGCCUGUGAAGUACAAUAAAACCCACUGCUGAAAUUCUUA
Long non-coding RNA from Parus major (Great Tit), 6052 nucleotides. RefSeq lists it as uncharacterized. The transcript has 2 exons. The record is from RefSeq and is a predicted model, not a curated record. Lineage: Eukaryota; Metazoa; Chordata; Aves; Passeriformes; Paridae.